Halichondria panicea is the source of this 1916-nucleotide long non-coding RNA. RefSeq lists it as uncharacterized. The record is from RefSeq and is a predicted model, not a curated record. The transcript has 2 exons. NCBI's taxonomy places the organism in Eukaryota, Metazoa, Porifera, Demospongiae, Suberitida, Halichondriidae.
CACCUGGUUUUGACCCUGACGUAAUGAGAAAAAUCAGAGAUAGAACUGCCCAUAUUCAUUUAGCCAAUCGGAUUGCAGUAUUUAUGACCGGAACUAGAGCAUUUUAGGAGUAUAAAAAGUCGCUAUAACUCAGUAACUCGCUGUCUUCUUCGAGGGAUCUUUUGCACACACUCCCUGUGCCAGCUCUACCGUCUCAGCCCAGCUCUACCGUCUCAGCCCAGUUCUACCGUCUCAUCCCAGCUCUACCGUCUCAGCCCAGCUCUAUCGUCUCACUCUACCUUUACCUCUCAACAAAGCAGCUCUGAUGAGUGCCUCUGGCUCUGGAUACCCUCUAAAACGGAGCAAAACAACAUCCACAACAUUGCCUGUAGUGUUGCCAUCCUCAAGCACUGUGUCACGUGUGGUUUCUGUGUCAGAGUUUAAUUUAUUCACGGUAGCUGAUACGUCUGAACAAAGAGGAGUAGACACACCAAGAUACACUCUAGAAGAAAUUGCUACGUACCUUAGUGUUGGCUAUCAAAAAAACGUUACAAGUGAAGAACUUGCUUCCAAGUGCAUUAAAUCUUUUCUCGGAGAUAUGGAUAUAGAAGCCGAAGCCUUUCCCGGUAUUGAAACUGAAGCUAACCGUGAAAUAAAACACAUGAGACACUUAACACAUGUGUGUGUGUCCAUGACCUCAAGGCCGGACGUGAUAGUGUAUUCAAAAAAAAAAGAUAUAACCAUAACAUUCGUCGAAGUACAAUCUUCGCCAAUGAAAGACACGGAACGAAAAGCAACCUUUGUUGCAAAAGACUUUUUAAGGAUGUUAAGAUAUGUAGAUUCAUCCAUAACCACACUAUCUGUGUUUUGUUUUCCGAAGCGUAAAGUCCAGCAAUGUAUAAUUGAAAUUGAAGUAAAGUGGGAUAACUUCUACAUUUUCACGAAUUUAAAACGUUUUCCGAACUUGGAAGAUGGUUUGAAAAGGCUAAAGGAAGUCGCUCUAAAACAAUGUGACCACCCAGCACUUGAAAGGCCAGAGGAAAAUAUGAUGACAUUAUCCCCCACCGAUUUAAAUGCUUUUGGAGUUGGUUAUGAGCAAAUGUCUUCUGCUACACACAUUGUUGUGACAAACAAAGAAAAUGUUAUCAAAGUUUUAUAUUGCGAUUCUGAAGCCACUCGUAUUAAGGAUUUGAUCCAUAAUGUAGAAUUCAAAGCUCUUUCAAUGCAGAGAUUCAUGUUAAAUGUUGACCCUGAACUCGAAUGCUAUGUUUAUACGUAUUUUCCGUACGGUCCUUUAAAACGAAUUGAUGCAAAAAAAUGUUUAAAAGAACUACUUGCAAAAAUAGCUGACGAAUUACUGAAAUUGCGCCGGAUGAAUAUUUCUCAUAAUGACGUGAGAUUGGAAAACAUAUGUUUUGAUGGACAAUUUAAGCCAUGCUUUAUCGAUUUUGAUCGUUGUUGCACUUUAACAAGCAAAUCGAGAGACAAGUAUUUCUCAGGACAUGGACUACAUAGUUGUAUGUACAAUCUUUUUAACCCUGUAUUCUCUCGUAUUCAAUUGAAAGAGCCUGACGUUACCACCGAUUUUAUGCAGCUGGGCUGGAUGGCUGCAUUUAUUUUGGAUGAUAAUGUCGAAGCAAAAGAUUAUCAUACUAGAGAAUGGGAAUUAACUGCCGAGAAAGGUCAUGUACUAGUAUCAGAAGAAAUCAAACGAAAUAAGUUUAUACAGGAGUUAAUAGUAAAUAAAAAAAUUCGAUCGAGACCUCCUCAGCACCUGUCUACCCGAUGAUAUAAAAACUGUGAAAGACGUUAUGUCUACCCGAUGAUAUAAAAACUGUGAAAGACGUUAUAAAGAGCUAGACUCUGAAUCUACUUGUCCUUAUUAUUAUAUGCAAUUAUUAUUAUAUUACAUCAAUAUUAAUUUUAUUGUAUAUUUA